Molecule: ribosomal RNA, 234 nt
Filed under: uncultured bacterium
Lineage: Bacteria
Description: partial 16S ribosomal RNA
Rfam family: Bacterial small subunit ribosomal RNA
Source: RNAcentral
UGGGCAACCUGCCCCUAGCUCUGGGAUAACUGCGGGAAACUGUAGCUAAUACCGGAUGUGACACGAGACUGCAUGGUCUUCGUGUGGAAAGAUUUAUCGGCUAGGGAUGGGCCCGCGGUCUAUCAGCUUGUUGGUGGGGUAAUGGCUCACCAAGGCGACGACGGAUAACCGGCCUGAGAGGGCGACCGGUCACACGUGGACUGAGACACGGCCCAGACCUCCGUACGGGAGGNA